CGAUAACGAACGAGACCUUAACCUGCUAAAUAGCCCGUACUGCUUUGGCAGUUCGCUGGCUUCUUAGAGGGACUAUCGGCUCAAGCCGAUGGAAGUUUGAGGCAAUAACAGGUCUGUGAUGCCCUUAGAUGUCCUGGGCCGCACGCGCGUUACACUGACAGAGCCAGCGAGUAUUUCCUUGACCGGAAGGUCCGGGUAAUCUUGUUAAACUCUGUCGUGCUGGGGAUAGAGCAUUGCAAUUAUUGCUCUUCAACGAGGAAUCCCUAGUAAGCGCAAGUCAUCAGCUUGCGUUGAUUACGUCCCUGCCCUUUGUACACACCGCCCGUCGCUACUACCGAUUGAAUGGCU
RNAcentral lists this ribosomal RNA (348 nucleotides) under uncultured fungus. Its description in RNAcentral is "SSU rRNA". It matches the Rfam family "Eukaryotic small subunit ribosomal RNA", at positions 1326 to 1698 of the family's 1831-position model. The record is from RNAcentral. Lineage: Eukaryota; Fungi.